GCCAGCGUGUCGUCGGCCAACUUCCGGACGACGCGCGCCUACUUCUACUGGGUGGCCCGGGAGCAGGGCUCCUUCGAGUGGUUCCGCGGCGUCAUGGACGAGGUGGCCGAGACGGACAGGAAGGGCGUCAUCGAGCUCCACAACUUGCACCAGCGUCUACGAGGAAGGCGACGCCCGGUCCGCCCUCAUCGCCAUGCUCCAGUCCCUCAACCACGCCAAGGACGGCGUCGACGUCGUCUCCGGCACCCGCGUCAAGACCCACUUCGCCCGCCCCAACUGGCGCAACGUCUACAAGCGCAUCGCCCUCAACCACCGCGACCAACGCGUCGGUCAGUACCACCAAACUCACUCACUCCACUGCCCCCCAAUUAUAACUCACUCCUCCCGUUUUCCAUUUUUCGCCACCCAUAUUUUGAAACCCAUAUUGGAGGAUUACGGUGAAAAGUCAAUAGCGGUUUAUGCCUGCACGCUAGCUCCUCUCCUCUGGACUGGAAUAUCGCGGUGACAGUUUUCUCUAUCAGGAAAGGUAGCUUUCAGAGUGGGAAUGGGAAGGAAGGCAAGGAAAAGAAAGAGACCUCCUGACCUUCAAGAAGCAAAAGAAACAAUGCUAAACAAAUGGUAUUGGAGUUCCACCGAGUAAAGAAAAAGGCAAAGGAAUGCCGCACCGCGUACAGGCCAGAUAAUGCAUUAUGCAACCUUGAUGAUGAUGCUGAAUCAUAGAGAAUUGCUGUUGAUUGACGAACUUCUCGCGUCAUAUCAGACAUAAGAUUGCACGAUCGGGGUGUUCUUGUGCAGCACUAGUGGGAUAGCAACAACACACCGUAGAGAAAAUGUACAAGUACCAGGUUCCUUAUGGCUUAGGAGAACACCAGACAUAGACCGAAACAAAUACUCCAAAUCCACGUCACUUAUUUCGGGACGGAGGGAGUACCAUAAUAUUUCAAGGGGUGUCCAGUUGAUCGCUAAACUUGGGCAAACUUGUUUAUACCAAAAUUCUGGCAGCCAUGGUGAAACUGGUGCUAUGGAUAGUCAAAAGGGCGGUUCUCAUAAUUCAGAGUGAUAAAUCAAGGCAGUGUCGGCUGAGGAUGCAGAAUUGGUUGCCAAAUCUCCUAACUUGCUGCCAUGUGAGGUAUAAUUUUGUACUUCCUUCCAUUUGAUAUGAUUUUUUUCAAACACCCUUUGGUUGCCUCAACUCACCAGAGCGUCGUGGCAAUCUAGAUUUAAGAACAGAGGGAGUUUAUCUCUUCUUCUAUCUAUUAUAUAUAAUAAAAAAAUAUAGGAAAAUUAUAAUAUCAUGUGUGUUUCUGAGGAGAUGAAUUGCUAUUUGGUUAAUCAGGUAAUGUGUAUACUAUGCAUGAAAAUUUUAGAAUUUGUAUUUGUAUGCAUUCUGUAACAGAAUCAAUUUGGUAACGGCACAUUCUUUCCCUUUGCCAACACAUUCAUCUAACCAGUUAUUGUCUUUAUACAUUGGUCUAAAAUUUCAGAUAUCGCCAAAGCAUACUCGCAAGGGCUUACAGUUCACAAAGAAAUGGAGGUAUUCUAAAAGGUAACGAGUAAGAAAAUAAUCUGAAACAACUGUUAGAACUUAGAAGACCUAGUUCUCCACAUCAUUCCAAGUUUACUAUAAUAUGCAAGUUAAGACUAUCUUAUCCAUUGUGCACCUCCAAUAGCUAUAUGGUUAUUGA
Long non-coding RNA from Brachypodium distachyon (stiff brome), 1685 nucleotides. RefSeq lists it as uncharacterized. The transcript is spliced from 5 exons. The record is from RefSeq and is a predicted model, not a curated record. Lineage: Eukaryota; Viridiplantae; Streptophyta; Magnoliopsida; Poales; Poaceae.